GACGAACGCUGGCGGCGCGCUUAACACAUGCAAGUCGAGCGAGAACCAGGCCUUCGGGCCUGGGGAAAGCGGCGAACGGGUGAGUAACACGUGGGUAACCCACCCUUGGUACCGGGAUANCCCGAGGAAACUCGGAUUAAUACCGGAUGGCCCAACAGCUUUUCGGAGCGGUUGGAAAAGGUAGCUUCGGCCUCCGACCAAGGACGGGCCCGCGGCGGAUUAGCUUGUUGGUGAGGUAACGGCUCACCAAGGCGACGAUCCGUAGCUGGUCUGAGAGGACGAUCAGCCACACUGGGACUGAGACACGGCCCAGACUCCUACGGGAGGCAGCAGUGGGGAAUCUUGCGCAAUGGGCGAAAGCCUGACGCAGCGACGCCGCGUGGGGGAAGAAGGCUUUCGGUUG
RNAcentral lists this ribosomal RNA (403 nucleotides) under uncultured bacterium. Its description in RNAcentral is "bacterial SSU rRNA". It matches the Rfam family "Bacterial small subunit ribosomal RNA", at positions 28 to 425 of the family's 1533-position model. The record is from RNAcentral.